This 250-nucleotide ribosomal RNA is filed under the name uncultured bacterium. Its description in RNAcentral is "partial 16S ribosomal RNA". It matches the Rfam family "Bacterial small subunit ribosomal RNA", at positions 524 to 773 of the family's 1533-position model. The record is from RNAcentral.
UACGGAGGGUGCAAGCGUUGCUCGGAAUUACUGGGCGUAAAGCGCGUGUAGGCGGUCUCGUAUGUCUGGUGUGAAAGCCCCGGGCUCAACCCGGGAAGUGCACUGGAAACUGCGAGACUAGAGUCCCGGAGAGGAAGGUGGAAUUCCAGGUGUAGCGGUGAAAUGCGUAGAUAUCUGGAAGAACACCGGUGGCGAAGGCGGCCUUCUGGACGGUGACUGACGCUGAGACGCGAAAGCGUGGGGAGCAAAC